Molecule: ribosomal RNA, 378 nt
Filed under: uncultured bacterium
Lineage: Bacteria
Description: bacterial SSU rRNA
Rfam family: Bacterial small subunit ribosomal RNA
Source: RNAcentral
ACUGGCGCACGGGUGAGUAACGCGUGGGUAUCUACCUCGGGGUGGGGAAUAACCGCUGGAAACGGCGGCUAAUACCGCAUACGCCUUAUGAGGGAAAGCUCCGGCGCCCUGAGAGGAGCCCGCGUUGGAUUAGCUUGUUGGUGGGGUAAUGGCCUACCAAGGCUACGAUCUAUAGCUGGUCUGAGAGGAUGAUCAGCCACACUGGGACUGAGACACGGCCCAGACUCCUACGGGAGGCAGCAGUGGGGAAUAUUGGACAAUGGGCGCAAGCCUGAUCCAGCCAUGCCGCGUGAGUGAAGAAGGCCUUAGGGUUGUAAAGCUCUUUCACCUGCGAAGAUGAUGACGGUAGCAGGAGAAGAAGCCCCGGCUAACUCCGUG